AUGCACUCAGCCAGGUCUCUUUCGCUUCAGAAGUGUUGGGCCCACUUGUUAGUCUCUUUGGGUAGGUGUGGAGCCAGGUGAAAGCUUGCGGGGUGGCUCGGUGCGCGAUUGGUGGUGUGGAUGCCGGAUGGGACGCGAGCAGUAAAACCUAGCUACCAAUCCGCUCACUUCCUCGAGCCCCACGCAACUCCACUUUCUCUUCGUUCCUCUCCUCCUCCUUCACGAUUCCCAGCGCGUGGCUGCCGCCGCUCAUCCUUCUCCUCUUCUCUCCCGUGCCACCAGGUCGCUGUUGCGUGAAUCCGGGCGGAUCCGGUCCCUAGGCGGCAUGAGGCUGCGGAUCCGACGAGGUCACGGUGGCGGCCGACGGCUUUCUUGUUGUGCUCUCUGAGAGCCGCGGGAGGAGAAGGAACAGAGGAGGGAGGGAUGCGGCAGGGCGACGGUUGCUUCGCUGUUGUUUUUGGCCGUGGGGAGGCGUGCUGAACCUGCAGGCUCGACCUAGCAGGACCGGCAGGUGCAGAGGCGCGUGCGAGGAGCGCUGUCGGCCCAUCGUUCUUUCUUCGUCAGGAAGGGCGCAGCCUGCUACUCAAGCCCCUCUCCUUCUCUCCUUCCAGAGGAGAGGCACGGGCGCCCCCACACUGGAGAGAUGGACGAAGACAUGAAGCUUUCGCGGAGACGACGAGGUGGCCGCUGCUGCACCCCCAUUCCAUGGACACGAAGAUUCCUGUCCUCUCUGCCAUCGAUAACGACACUUCUCAUCGAUAACGGCACUUCUCGGCAGGCGCAGACCGCAUGGCCGUCUUCCUCUCUGGCCCAUCAGAUUCAGACCCUAUCCCUCUUCCUCUGCAUCUCUGUUAAAAUAUGCUCAGGUCAACUAGGAGAUGAUACAAGCCAAGGCGCUCACACUGAUUUAAGAUGUUUGCUCUAUGUUUGGUCAUAUUGUUCCUAGCGGUCUUGGAAGUAUAUUCAAGUUUUAAUAGAUGCAAUCCAUGGUCCUGAGAUCGGCAAAGUUUGUGGCAUCCUUCUUCCUUAUGUAUUGUGUCUAAUUGCCUUUGGUCAUAAAUAGCAAGACACUGAUGGAGGAGCCGUCCAGCUCAUGUUGUGACUGUUCCAGCUUUCUGUGCUAAGAAAUCACUGACUGCCAGGAAAGGGAAGUGGACUGUGUGCCAGAGAGCGGUUUAUCUUUGCCCGUCAACUACAUAUCAAUUGACAGACGAUCGACGAGGCUCUCUGUCGCAGCUGUGUGCCUGAUCAACAAGCCAAAUAUUUUGACUCUGCUUGCUAAUGUGUCUGAAGAGAAGAUAUCAGUGAUGGUGGACCUGGUGAUGAGGGCAUCAAGACAAAGAGAUUAAUUCACAACUCUGUUCUUGAUAGGUUGCCGCAUUCCUCGCAGAUUUACCACUCCUUCCGUCUCCUGGAAUCACUAAAUGAGAUCUUGGAAGCUAAUAGAGUUGAAGAAUCACAUGGUAAUGUACACACGAUGCAUUUCAUUUUCCCAAACACCUUCAGUGAACCUUGGCAUCUCCCCCCCACCCUAGCAGAACAUAUUACAAAGAUUGUGUAUGUAUGAUUGUCUUCAAACCUAGCCACUCUGAUUUGGCCUUUCUGAUCAUUUUGUUUAAUAGUCUCCAGUGCUUUGGUCGUUCGCUAUUAUGAUUCAAAUAUACCUUGGCUGUUGGACGUCCUAUUGAAAUGACACAAUUCAUGCUUAUUUGUGUUGUGUCUGGAUUUUCAUGUAUGAGGACGCAUUUAAUCGAUGAUAUGAACACUCUUGCAGCUUAUCAGUGCUGGGAAGGAUCAAUUUAUAGUAUCUUCUGUAUACUUGCAUACCAUCCGUCCGUCAACUGAUGAGACGCUAAGAUGACGAGAAUGGACUGCGCAUUCUACAUGUACAUGAACCUGAAGCACUACUCCAGUGAUGGAACAACAGUAACCUUAAAGCCAGAACAAGUACGAAAGUUGAGGAAAAAGGUUCUAUAUCAACUAAUCAGCCAACACAGAGGGAAUACAAAACUGUCAAUAAUCAAGUGUACAACAGAUAUGCUGAAAUAUGAAGUAGAUAUGGAAGACAAAGAAAUGCAACAAGCAGAAUGUUGCGUACUAGAAGAGUUUCCGCCAACUACCGGGCCAAAAGAACAUAUUAUGCAUGCGGCAACCACACAAGAGCAUGAGGUUAUUGAUAUAUCCAGUGAACACAAAUAUAUUAUGGAUGUCAGCAGCCACGCCGUCGCCCAACAAUCUUUCACAGUCCACGAACAAAAUGAUCCACCAAUAGAACCAGAUCAACCACCACCAGACGACAAGAUACCACAACAUGCCGAAGAUGAAACAGACGAGCAAAAUAUCAACAGCAAUAUCACGACCACAGAGCAACUGGAACAAACAGGCACUGAUUUAAAAGAGGAUGACAGAAGCAACGACAUACCAAAUACACAACAACAGGUUUCCGAGCAGAAGAAACAACCUGUUCUUCUUCAAGAAGAAACAGGCUCAACAAGCAAUCAUCAAGGCACCUCCAGCACCAUCUCUUUAGACUUCCUAAAACCAAAAACAAUGGAAAAGCAGGAAAAAAUUGACGAAUUUCUUUCAAGCCUUAACCCACUACAACUAGAGGUGUACAACAACCAUAUAAAGAUGGGCUGUAACUUCGAUUUAAUCAAAACAUGGCUCAACGAGCAUGAAAGCUAUGAAUUCAACAAAAAUCCCAAGCCGUAUCUGACAAUCUUGUAGCAAGAGCCAGGAGAACAUUCAAUGCCUCAAUCAUCUGAGAACAGUUCAAACAAGAAAAUCUCGGUCAAGAAAAGGUCGGUAAAGCCUUCAAGAAGGCCCCUUGGAGAAAUCAAGAUUCCUACAUUUGUCCCAUGAGAUUUCAAAUUCAUAAACAAAGCCAGAGUACUCCAUGAAUACCUAUUCAGCAAAGAAGGACAGGACGAAUGCGGAGAUCUAAACAUAUAUAUUAGCUCGAAGUGAUACGAUUGGAUUACAGGAAAACAAAUAAUGGCACAACUAAUGAAAGGAGAUGAUGGACAGAUGAAGGGCUCCAUUGCAAACGCAUUGUUCGAUGAAUGGACAUCGCAGCAACAAUACAACACAACCGAUAAAGCCAUACUUCCCGUAGAAUUUGCAAACGUCGUGCUCGGUGUUAAAACUGGAGAGGAAAGUGGACUAGCAGAAUUCAAUGAGGAAGAAGCAUUGAAAGAGUUUACACCCCUUGUAACAGGCAAGGAACUUUUAAAGAAAAAGCUGAUUAUGAUACCUCACAACACAGAUAAACACUACACACUGUACGUGCUCAACAAGUACACGAACUCCAUCGACAUACUUGACUCACUGAAUUACAGACACGGAGAUGAAAAAAAAACAUGGAAAACACACCAUAAGGACCACAAAGAACUGAUUAAAAGGAAGCACGGACUCAUGAAGAAGCAUUACGGCGAAACGGAGCUACAAGCCAACAACGAACCAAACUGGUCGAGGAUAGCACAAACACCUAACAGAGUUUGCGUGCCAAAACAGUAGGGUACCCAAUGCGGACACAUCAUGGCUCAAUUUGCAAAAUACUAGAAUGGCAUUGAACUCAUAAAAGAUGAUGAGGAUUUCGAUCAAAGCAACGUAGAUGCCGAGUGGAAACCAGAGUUCUUUUUUACAGCCAUAUUUGGUGAAACAAACCAAGUAAAGUGGGAAGAACUACCUGGAAGAAUCAAAGAAUUCAAACGAGAAACUUCAAAGUUCUUCUCCACCAAAAAAGAUGAAACAAAAAGGAAAAAAAGACAAAGCACCAGUCCAUAUCCAAAACAUUCUCACUGCUUCCAACACACAGAGGAGGCGUCCGACCUCUUCCAUCUAGUCAUGAGCGACAGCUGGCAGGAGAAAUACAAAAGCAAAGCUAUAUUUAGGCGCAUCCUCAGGGACAGUGAAAGCACGCAACUUACUGGAGCCCAGCUGAAGGCAGUAUUUGGUCCAAGACCAGCACAGACGAACAAAUGACAUCAUAUGGAAAAGAGGAUCUUCGAUGACAUAGCAGAAAUCUGAGAAAGCAGACAAGAAUCAAAACAGAGUGACAGAGUAAUAUUAGGCCCAAACUUUGCAGAGCACAUAUUGGAUUUGAAGAAACACACAACUACUAUUACAAAAUUUAAAAAUGAGUUGCAAAAAACAAAGAAUCAGCUCGUUCCCAUGUAUCUCAAGAAAAAUCAACGGAAAAAGCUCUCAACAGCAAACAUGGUAUUCAUUCCAAUGGAGAAGCAUGACCGCUAUGUACUAUAUAUGCUGGACAAAUACAAACACAAAGUUCACAUUAUUGAUCCUCGAGAAACAACUCACGAGGAAUUUGAAAAAGAAAAAGAUACACAUCGACAAAUUGACACCAUAAGAAGUACCUAGGUUUAAAGAAGUCUUCAACAUCAUACUAGGACAAACAAUGAAUGCCAAGGGUACAAGAUGGCAGACUCAUACCGUGCAAGAUGUUCCAGUCGUAGAAAAGGGAGAAUCAACAUUUGCUGUUUUAAAGCUUGCAUUCCUUUACAAUGGUGAAAAGUUUGUCGAAGACCUGGAAGAUUUGACAGAUGAGGUCGAAGACUGGAGGGCAGAGGCAAUGUACAGAUGAAUCAAGUCAAAGCUAGUGAAAUGGGUGAAGAUAUUAGCAAGAUCUUAAGCAAAAAUGAAGACUAAAACUUUUGAUUUAGCCCGCGAAGCUAAUUCUAUCUAGACGUGACAAAACAGUUUGUCAAUAACUCACAUUUAUAUGUAAUGUAGUUAGAAAUUACAUGUUCAUGUUGAAAAAAAACUAUUUCGACAACAGUGCGUCUUACAUCAUAAGAGAGCGCCAGUAAACUAUAAACAACAAUGCCUCUUCUUAUUUGUACAA
Long non-coding RNA from Triticum aestivum (bread wheat), 4864 nucleotides. RefSeq lists it as uncharacterized. Lineage: Eukaryota; Viridiplantae; Streptophyta; Magnoliopsida; Poales; Poaceae. The record is from RefSeq and is a predicted model, not a curated record. The transcript is spliced from 21 exons.